AUUCCAGCUCCAAUAGCGUAUAUUAAAGUUGUUGCAGUUAAAAAGCUCGUAGUUGGAUUUCUGUUCUCGAGGAUCGGUCCGCCUCACGGUGAGCACUGGUUUUUCUUGGGGACAUCCUCUCGAAGGCGGGUGGUGCACUUAAUUGUGUGCUGCUUGGAUUCGGGACCUUUACUUUGAAAAAAUUAGAGUGUUCAAAGCAGGCGUCGGCUUGAAUACAUUAGCAUGGAAUAAUGGAAUAGGACUUUGGUUCUAUUUUGUUGGUUUCUAGGACCGAAGUAAUGAUUAAUAGGGACAGUUGGGGGCAUUAGUAUUUAAUUGUCAGGGGUGAAAUUCUUGGAUUUAUGAAAGACUAACUACUGCGAAAGCAUUUGCCAAGGAUGUUUUCAUCG
This 389-nucleotide ribosomal RNA is filed under the name Choanoflagellata sp. RNAcentral's name for it is "partial small subunit ribosomal RNA". It matches the Rfam family "Eukaryotic small subunit ribosomal RNA", at positions 582 to 975 of the family's 1831-position model. The record is from RNAcentral. Lineage: Eukaryota; Choanoflagellata.